This 283-nucleotide small RNA is filed under the name Histoplasma capsulatum. RNAcentral's name for it is "hypothetical RNA". Lineage: Eukaryota; Fungi; Ascomycota; Eurotiomycetes; Onygenales; Ajellomycetaceae. RNAcentral also lists the same sequence under 1 other name. The record is from RNAcentral.
CUGCGCCAUUCUCACCGGAGUCGCGUUUUCCCUUCUGAGGUAAACCACAAAAAGAUGGAAUAACUUUCUCACGAAGCCUUGGGCCAUUAAAGUCACCUGCCAUAUACGAGGAGAGCCUUGCUUUGAUCAGAUCAAGAAGACAUGGCCUCUCAAAAGUCACAGGGGAACUCUAGCCCCUCCGCGUCCUCAAUAUUUCUACCACUUGGCCGACCUUCAAGACGGGGUUCUUUUGGGUCUAUGAGCUCGCAAGCAGAGCGGGAACAUCGAAAUGAAGCGUUGAACC